GAUGAACGCUGGCGGCGUGCCUAAUACAUGCAAGUCGAGCGAACAGACGAGGAGCUUGCUCCUCUGACGUUAGCGGCGGACGGGUGAGUAACACGUGGAUAACCUACCUAUAAGACUGGGAUAACUUCGGGAAACCGGAGCUAAUACCGGAUAAUAUAUUGAACCGCGUGGUUCAAUAGUGAAAGACGGUUUUGCUGUCACUUAUAGAUGGAUCCGCGCCGCAUUAGCUAGUUGGUACGGUAACGGCUUACCAAGGCAACGAUGCGUAGCCGACCUGAGAGGGUGAUCGGCCACAUGGGAACGGAGACACGGACCAGACUCCUAAGGGAGGCAGCAGUAGGGAACGUUCGGCAAUGGGCGAAAGUUUGACGGAGCAACGCCGCGCGAGUGAUGAAGGUCUUCGGAGCGGAAAACUCGGUUAUUAGGGAAGAACAAAUGUGGAAGUAACUAUGCACGUAUUGACGGUACUUAAUCAGAAAGCCACGGCUAACUACGUG
RNAcentral lists this ribosomal RNA (497 nucleotides) under uncultured bacterium. Its description in RNAcentral is "partial 16S ribosomal RNA". It matches the Rfam family "Bacterial small subunit ribosomal RNA", at positions 28 to 507 of the family's 1533-position model. The record is from RNAcentral.